Sinocyclocheilus grahami is the source of this 1116-nucleotide non-coding RNA. NCBI's taxonomy places the organism in Eukaryota, Metazoa, Chordata, Actinopteri, Cypriniformes, Cyprinidae. The record is from the annotation of a RefSeq genome assembly.
UUAACUUGUUUCCCGGUGAAGAGUUUCAGAGACAAAGACCAAAAAAGCUACUUGUGAAGUGAGCUCAAAAUGACAGUUCUUGUAAAAGUCCUCAACAUUUUCCUUUGGAUAUUUUCCUUUAAUUUUGUGCGAGGUCAAGUGAAUUCCCAAACGCCAACCCUGAGCUUGAUUCCUGUUACAACUCGGAAAAGUACAUUUGUCAUGUGUGUUAUUGAGGAUUUCUACCCCAUGGAUUACUACUUCCCUAUACGAUGGAAAGUAAAUGAUAUCAUCAGCCAGACAGAGCCAGUACUGGAGUACAAAUUGAAUGAUGAAGGUCUUUAUACAGCACAAAAUCUUUAUAAAGUCAGCAGUGAGACAUGGAAUGCAAAUACUAACUAUACUUGCGAGGUCACACACCAGGGCAAAACAAUUAUUGAGAAGAAGAACUUCAAGUCAUCUAAUGCUCCAUUCACACUAACACUGAAGCCACCAAUUGAGAGAGACUUAUUUGUCUAUAAUAAAGUUAUCUUGGAAGCUGUUGUUUCUGGAGAUGUAAAAACGGCAGCGAAUGAAGCUUCAGUGUCGUGCAUAGUGAAGAAUGAAUCUGUAAUCAGUGUAACAGGAACUAUAAACUUUUCUCAGGAUAUUUCACAGUUUAUAAGAAUCCACAACAUCCCUGUUGAUACAAAUAAAUGGUUUGAUGGUGAAAUAGUCACCUGCACCGUUCAUGACACAAAUAACAACAGAGACAUCAAGCAGGAGAUCCGUUUCGAUAAAGGAGAUGGACUGAAACCCAGUGUUGUCAUUUACACACCUGAUUCUAUUGACACAGACAGAGUCUCUCUGGUGUGUGAGGUCACCAGCCCUAAACUUGGCAAUGUCUAUAUCAUGUGGAAAGUGGGUGAAGAGCCUUACAUAAAGGGCUCAACCAGCACUCCCAUCCAUCAACGGGACUCCACAUCUGUUCUCAGCAUACUAACAAUAUCAAAACAAGAGUAUGAAAAGUACAACACCAUCACCUGCACAGUCAUACAUGCCAACAUGAAUUAUAGAAGAAAUCCAUUACAAGUUUCAACAUCCCAAAGGAAACUACACAUGUCACUUUUGAGAUAUCCAGAGAUAUCAUGUGAUUAA